Molecule: ribosomal RNA, 374 nt
Filed under: uncultured bacterium
Lineage: Bacteria
Description: bacterial SSU rRNA
Rfam family: Bacterial small subunit ribosomal RNA
Source: RNAcentral
CAGCAGCCGCGGUAAUACGUAUGGAGCAAGCGUUAUCCGGAUUUACUGGGUGUAAAGGGAGCGCAGGCGGUGCGGCAAGUCUGAUGUGAAAGCCCGGGGCUCAACCCCGGUACUGCAUUGGAAACUGUCGUACUAGAGUGUCGGAGGGGUAAGCGGAAUUCCUAGUGUAGCGGUGAAAUGCGUAGAUAUUAGGAGGAACACCAGUGGCGAAGGCGGCUUACUGGACGAUAACUGACGCUGAGGCUCGAAAGCGUGGGGAGCAAACAGGAUUAGAUACCCUGGUAGUCCACGCCGUAAACGAUGAUUGCUAGGCGUAGGUGGGUAUGGACCCAUCGGUGCCGCAGCUAACGCAAUAAGCAAUCCACCUGGGGAGU